AUUGAACGCUGGCGGCAUGCUUUACACAUGCAAGUCGAACGGCAACAGGUUAAGCUGACGAGUGGCGAACGGGGGAGUAAUGCAUCGGAACGUGCCCAAUCGUGGGGGAUAACGCAGCGAAAGCUGCGCUAAUACCGCAUACGAUCUGCGGAUGAAAGCGGGGGACCGUAAGGCCUCGCGCGAGCGGAGCGGCCGAUGUCAGAUCAGGUAGUUGGUGGGGUAAAGGCUCACCAAGCCAACGAUCCGUAGCUGGUUUGAGAGGACGACCAGCCACACUGGGACUGAGACACGGCCCAGACUCCUACGGGAGGCAGCAGUGGGGAAUUUUGGACAAUGGGCGAAAGCCUGAUCCAGCAAUGCCGCGUGCAGGAAGAAGGCCUUCGGGUUGUAAACUGCUUUUGUACGGAGCGAAAAGGCUCUCUCUAAUACAGGGGGCUCAUGACGGUACCGUAAGAAUAAGCACCGGCUAACUACGUGCCAGCCGCCGCAGUAA
RNAcentral lists this ribosomal RNA (493 nucleotides) under uncultured bacterium. RNAcentral's name for it is "partial 16S ribosomal RNA". It matches the Rfam family "Bacterial small subunit ribosomal RNA", at positions 29 to 523 of the family's 1533-position model. The record is from RNAcentral.